GUCCCUGUAGCUCAGUUGGUAGAGCAUGGUGUUUGCAGCGCCAGGGUUGUGGGUUCGAUUCCCAUGGGGGGCC
This 73-nucleotide transfer RNA is filed under the name Salmo salar (Atlantic salmon). It matches the Rfam family "tRNA". From Rfam's summary of the family: Transfer RNA (tRNA) molecules are approximately 80 nucleotides in length. Their secondary structure includes four short double-helical elements and three loops (D, anti-codon, and T loops). The record is from Rfam by way of RNAcentral. Lineage: Eukaryota; Metazoa; Chordata; Actinopteri; Salmoniformes; Salmonidae.